This is a non-coding RNA of Pelobates cultripes (western spadefoot toad), 973 nucleotides long. NCBI's taxonomy places the organism in Eukaryota, Metazoa, Chordata, Amphibia, Anura, Pelobatidae. The record is from the annotation of a GenBank genome assembly.
CACUGUUAAAAUACACCUACCAUUAAAAUUAUAAACUGAUCAUUUCUUUUCUAGUUGGCAAACGUUCAAAAUCAGCAGGGUAUCAAAUACUUAAAUUCCCUCACUGUAUGUACCCCAGAGACAAUAAUCCUUUUCAGUUUCUCAAGACUCCUUUUGCUUCAGCUCCCAUUCUUAAGUACCCUGACCCAUCCCUGCUGUUUAUCCAGGAGGUUGAUGCCUCGGAAGUGGGAGUAUUCUUUAUUGAUUUUCAAGAUUUAUAUGCAUAUAUAUAUUAAUAUCGUAGUGAACCAUAAAAUUGCACAUAGUACAAGACGUACAACAUAAAGACAAAUAUAAUGAACAUAGAUUCAGUUAAAGUUAAGAAUAAAUUAAACAUGUGGAGAAUAUAAUUUAUCCAUCUUAAUGCUGGUCACCUAAGAAUCUGAACUCCCAGGUUAUAGCAUUGCAUCCAAUACCUUUAUCCAAUUAUCUCAUAUCUUAUAUUUUUCAUGAUUAAAACACAUACUAGACACAGUUGCACAUUCUAUUUUGCACUGGACUUUAAUAAACUCUUUCAUUUGUGGCAACGAGUUAAUCUUAUGUGUUUUCCAGUUUUUAGCACUUGAGCUUUUACAAGCCAUUAGAGUGUUUAUCAAAAGACACUUUUUUAUUUUUAGGUUAUCGUGGUAAAUUCAAGUGCAAUAUUGCCACCUCAAUCGUGCAGACCUUUUUCAGGCCCAAAGGAUUUUUAACAUAAAAGAAAAGUAUAUCCCAGCCUAUUUUUAGUGGAGGCAGUCCUGGACUGGCCAUCGGACAAACCAGCAAAUGCCUGAUGAGCCACGAUGGCCAUGGACCGAUGCCAACAAGGAAGAUCAAGGUAUCUCCCCUGCCAGCUCAUGCAGUGCCUGUCAGGAUUACUGUUUGAUCCAGCACGUAGAACUGUACAGCACGGAUGACAAAUAAGUAAAGUAUUACCGGUCCUUAGAAUGGCCGG